CCUUCCUUGCACGUGGUGGUCUGACUCCAGUCCCUGCAUGAUGUGCGGGCAGCGGCGCUGAACUCAUCUCAUCUCAACGUUCCUGAAUCCUGAGUGGCCUCCCAAAGUCAAGUCUGUGUUGUUAUGUAAUGUGUGACUCAUGUUGCAGCCAGGCAGGGUAAAGACCGCGACGGCUGAACAAAAAGAAAGAAAGUAUAGGUUCAGAGAACAUCUAACCAACAUAGAAAAUGGUUUAGAACAACUGCAGCUUCUUCCAGCCUGCUCUCCUUCCUGGUUGUCUCUCCCAUGCCACAGCCACUGCCCUGCCCCCUGCCUCCCAGCACAGCACAGAGCGGGCUGAGACCUCUGUGUCUGACAGCAACUCCAGACUGUGCAGUUUGUUCCCAUGGGUUCCCGCUGGACUUGACCCCUGCCUAUAUGCCAAGGACAUGAUAAAUAUAUAUGCAGCCACCAAUCAUCAGCUAUCUCACAGUAAUGCAUUAUUAUUCCUGAGCCUAACUCAGUAUUGCAACAAAGCAUAGAAAGAGAACAAAGCAAAUUUGAUAAUAAAAGUAAAUUAAGGGGGAAUUCCGGGAAGAGGCAGAGCAUGUGGGAAGCCUGCAGAAAAAAACACAGAAUUAUAGAGUUACCGGAAACCCUGGAAUAUCAAAAUGUAAUGCACUUUAUCACAGAAAUAGUCCCAAAUUCACUACAAAUGCAAAUAUCUUCACAGUCCCUUCAAAUUGAAGAAUACAUUGAUUAGGCCCACCUCGGAAAAAUCUUGAUGGUUCAUUUAGAUCCAGACCAAGUAUUGCAAAGUUUUUGAACUUUCAGGAAAAAGUUAACCUUUUAAGAUGUUAUAGGAAGAUUAAUCCACUGAUCAAAAUAAAAUUCUGAUAUUCCAGGAUUUCUCAACUGAAACAUCGGCCAAAAGGAGAAAAAUAUCUCCAUAUUGUUCAAAGCUAAUGAAAGCUAAUUUUAAUGUGAGAAUGAUGUACCCUGCCAAAUUGGUACUGACAUGUAACGGAGACAUUUAAACUCUUAAUAACAUACAAGAAGUGGAUUUCUGUAAAGACAAUGGUAUAAAAUAAAUUGAUGCAUAGGAAUGUCCUAUGUAAACUGGA
Bombina bombina (fire-bellied toad) is the source of this 1103-nucleotide long non-coding RNA. RefSeq lists it as uncharacterized. The record is from RefSeq and is a predicted model, not a curated record. Lineage: Eukaryota; Metazoa; Chordata; Amphibia; Anura; Bombinatoridae. The transcript has 3 exons.